CAUCUGCUUCAAUAAUUCCCCAAGAGAAGCACUCUCCUUGUGGGUUCGCGGGUAUCCUGUGUUGCUUACCAAAGAAACGGAAUUUGAUAGUGUUGCAUGUUUGGAUCCGCCUUGUGCCUUUCGGGGUGCGGGGUGGACAUGAGGCAAGCACUGUGAUCCCAGCAUGUCGAGUGCCUUUGCGAUCGAUUGUUGUGGCCCAUGGUGUCUCUGCUUGUUCUCUCGGAUGCGGUAAGCUAUGCGUGGGCGUGAGGUCUCGGCCAAUCGUCCAGGCACUGUCCCUUGACUCGAAUGACUGCUGCGCCCAUCUUGAUCCUCCUGACCACGACCUCAUAUUGGGGCCUACUGGACGAGGGGGGGUCAUGUGGGUGGUGGCAUCAAAGAGGAAAGC
This 388-nucleotide unclassified non-coding RNA is filed under the name Cyanothamnus ramosus. Its description in RNAcentral is "Boronia ramosa partial external transcribed spacer". The record is from RNAcentral. Lineage: Eukaryota; Viridiplantae; Streptophyta; Magnoliopsida; Sapindales; Rutaceae.